Molecule: ribosomal RNA, 119 nt
Filed under: Pteropus alecto (black flying fox)
Lineage: Eukaryota; Metazoa; Chordata; Mammalia; Chiroptera; Pteropodidae
Source: RNAcentral
GUCUACGGUCAUGCCACACUGAACAAGCCCGAUCCCAUCUGAUCUCAGAAGCUAAGCAGGAUCGGGCCUGGUUAGUACUUGAAUGGGAAACCACCUAGAAAGACCAGGUGCUGUAGGUG